Molecule: ribosomal RNA, 465 nt
Filed under: Vreelandella stevensii
Lineage: Bacteria; Pseudomonadati; Pseudomonadota; Gammaproteobacteria; Oceanospirillales; Halomonadaceae
Description: partial 16S ribosomal RNA
Rfam family: Bacterial small subunit ribosomal RNA
Source: RNAcentral
CCUACGUGCGGCAGCAGUGGGGAAUAUUGGACAAUGGGCGAAAGCCUGAUCCAGCCAUGCCGCGUGUGUGAAGAAGGCCUUCGGGUUGUAAAGCACUUUCAGUGGGGAAGAAAGCCUUGGGGCUAAUACCCUCGAGGAAGGACAUCACCCACAGAAGAAGCACCGGCUAACUCCGUGCCAGCAGCCGCGGUAAUACGGAGGGUGCGAGCGUUAAUCGGAAUUACUGGGCGUAAAGCGCGCGUAGGCGGUCUGAUAAGCCGGUUGUGAAAGCCCCGGGCUCAACCUGGGAACGGCAUCCGGAACUGUCAGGCUAGAGUGCAGGAGAGGAAGGUAGAAUUCCCGGUGUAGCGGUGAAAUGCGUAGAGAUCGGGAGGAAUACCAGUGGCGAAGGCGGCCUUCUGGACUGACACUGACGCUGAGGUGCGAAAGCGUGGGUAGCAAACAGGAUUAGAUACCCCUGUAGUC